RNAcentral lists this ribosomal RNA (607 nucleotides) under Lithophyllum kotschyanum. Its description in RNAcentral is "eukaryotic LSU rRNA". It matches the Rfam family "Eukaryotic large subunit ribosomal RNA", at positions 1284 to 1899 of the family's 3401-position model. The record is from RNAcentral. Lineage: Eukaryota; Rhodophyta; Florideophyceae; Corallinales; Lithophyllaceae.
AACAACUCACCUGCCGAAUGAACUAGCCCUGAAAAUGGAUGACGCUUAAGCGGAGUGCCGACACCCGACCGUUUCGGUAAAACAGCAAGCACACGACCGAAAUGAGUAGGAGGGCGUGGCGAUUUUGUUUCGAAGGGUACGACGCGAGUCUACCUGGAACGGUCGCUAGUGCAGAUCUUGGUGGUAGUAGCAAAUAUUUAAGCGAGAUCCUUAAAGGGCGAAGCGGGGAAGGGUUCCACGCGAACAUUGAUUGGGCGUGGGUGAGUCGUUCCUAAGCCGGGUGGUAAUCGUUCUUACGAUCGGCGAAAGGGAAGUUGGUUAAAAUUCCAACACACGGAUGUGGAGGCGGCAACGCAAAUUGAGGUGGAGACGUUAGCGGUGACACUGGGCAGAGUUUUCUUUUCUGUUUAACCCGUUGCGCACUCUGUGGAAUUCGAUUAUCGAGAGAAACAGGUGCGCGCUUUGGGAAGAGCGUCGGGGCGUCCCCGGCGUCCAGUACGUCACCGAGAACCCUUGAAAAUCCAUCUGCAAUGUAAUUUCACGCCGUGGCGUACCGAUAACCGCAGCAGGUCCCCAAGGUGAACAGCCUCUGCUCAAUAUGAACAAU